This is a long non-coding RNA of Rhineura floridana, 1249 nucleotides long. RefSeq lists it as uncharacterized. The transcript has 4 exons. The record is from RefSeq and is a predicted model, not a curated record. NCBI's taxonomy places the organism in Eukaryota, Metazoa, Chordata, Lepidosauria, Squamata, Rhineuridae.
GGAACGUUCUAGCCAUAGUGGAGAAAAACGAAAAGAUGUAAACUACAAAGUAUAAUCUAGCAGGAAAAUUAAAUGCUGGCAACAGCGCAGGAUCUCCAUCUCUCUCGACGUCUGUUCUCUGUAAAUGACUUCAUUGUCAACAUCCUCAUCGCGCCCGCCCCGUCGUCUCACCCUGGGCGUUAAUCUCGAAGACCCCGUUUCUGACGACGCCGUUCCUCGCUCGCUCGCUCUGCUGCUACUUCUUCUCAUUUCAGGACUCAGCGGCGAAACUCUUAAACUCCCCGCCCUUCCGUGCCCAACCUGUUUUCCCCGUCCCCCGAUGUUAGGGCGGCUUUCUUGUUUAAAAGGCUCCGUUUCAAGAGCAGCAGCGCUCUCCGGGGUUACGUCGCCUGGUGCGGGAGCACUGCGGGCACGGUGAGCUUGCGGUUGUGCCCCCUCUCCCGUUCUGUUUGGCUGUCAGUCCCCUCAUGGGGGAAGAACCCCUUCCUAGGAUGGGUUGCCUCCCCGGUGUUGGUAACUGACAAGGCAAGAGAGCUUCGGGGGAAAGGCUUUGUUCUGAAAACACAAGAGCUUUUUGAAGACGGUGAAAAAGUGUGCGCAGGAACUUAAUCAUCCCCUUGACGUAGGAGCGUCGCCAUCAAGCGCAUGGCGCCGGGUCAAGGCAGUCUGGAGUGUAUGGUCAUCUAAAUGGGUCUGAGCUGGCAGUGACUGACCAGGAAUGAGUUCUUGGGAUCGUAGUGGAUAGCUUGAUGAAGAUGUCAACCCAGUGUGCAGCAGCUGUGAAAAAGUUUUAUUUCAGGAAUUAUAGAUGCAUUUCAAAGCCACAGCAGAGGAUCCUGAGACACGGAGCACACAUCCAAGGACAAAGAACAGCAGGCAUGGCCAGACAGGAGUUGAAACCAUUGCAAGGUUUAUAAACUGCAGAAUUAAUACACAGUACAGGCAUGUUUCCUACAAGCUGUGACAUUUAUGUUAUCUCACUCUUCUCUGCCUAUAGAGAUAGCCUUGAAUCUGCCUCAGCAGAAAAGAUAGGUGGCAGACCAGCAAAAAGGAAGUAUAUAUUUGAUUUAUCUGAGAUGUUGUCCAUUUCAAAAAAUCCACAGGAAGAAAAAAAUCCUACAGAAAUACGUACAUUUAAGUUUCAAUCCUACACAUACUUACUUAGAAGUAAGUACCACUGAAUGCAGUAAUAUUUAUUUAUGGGUAGACAUGUGUUGGAUUGUUAAUCUACAGACAAACCAAGAAUGAA